UUUCCAUAGGAAACAGUGAGAAACAGUUUUAGAAAACAGUUUAAGAUUUGCCAGUAUGCAGCUGCCUCUCUUCAUCAGGCUCUGGGAGUGCUGUGAUGGUCAGAAGGGCAGCUGACACUCUGUGAUGUCCCCAUUCUGUAUUCCUUGGUGAGCUCAAGGAAGAUGCUGUGGUUGGCAUCCAGCAACUUAGUCACAUAGGGGUUUGGUCGUUGGGAGUGCUGGUAUCUGUGGCCAUGAUCUGACUUUUCAAGCUGAGACA
Molecule: small nucleolar RNA, 259 nt
Filed under: Carlito syrichta (Philippine tarsier)
Lineage: Eukaryota; Metazoa; Chordata; Mammalia; Primates; Tarsiidae
Description: Small Cajal body specific RNA 6 (ENSTSYG00000034942.1)
Rfam family: Small Cajal body specific RNA 6
About the family: U88 is small Cajal body specific RNA (scaRNA). scaRNAs are a novel class of small nuclear RNAs which localise to the Cajal bodies.
Source: Rfam by way of RNAcentral